Carassius auratus (goldfish) is the source of this 1941-nucleotide long non-coding RNA. Lineage: Eukaryota; Metazoa; Chordata; Actinopteri; Cypriniformes; Cyprinidae. The record is from Ensembl.
UGGCAUUUUAGUAGGUGAAAUUGACAUUUCUGUAGCCUUUGCACAUGCACAGUUUAAUCUUUUAGAUAAAACUAUUCAAGCAACUAGGCUUUUACAAACUGCUCAGUCUUCGUUUCAUUGUCCUCGUGUGAGUCAGAUCAGUCUUGCUCGUCUUAAAAUAGAGUCAGAAGUGUUGAAGAGUGUAAAUACUUGAACUCAAGCCAAGAGAUGCCAUCAUUCAGAAGACUGUGUGCCUCCACGUCUAACGUUUCACAGCCACGACUUACACAUUAAAAAUACUCAAAGUCAAGAGUGUUGGACAAAACAUGCAUGAAGGAUGAAUCAAGCCUAAGCUUUUAAAUCCAUACCAAUGCAUGCAGUAUUGUGAAGUUUAAUGGCAUUACUGUAGUGUAAUGUAAUUAAUAGUGAUGUUGCAUCAGGUCAUAUAUCAUCACCCGUGUCACCUCGAGCCCUAAACAUAAAGCAGCAUCUGUGCAGCGUGACACUCACGGACAGAUCCGCUGGAUUCAUGUUCUCUCUGUUCAGCAUGUUGAACUCAAGACGAGGUGAGAGUGGCUUAAAAAACACUGAAUGAAGGAGAGAAGAAUCUAAAGCACCAGCUGAAUAACUCAAGACUUGGUUUUCUGAGAGGAAAUGCAUAUUCUUGGGACUACAUUGAUUUUUAUUAUAGCCCUCAAGGUCUGUCUAGGUUUCUACCUUCAGACGUCGGAGGUCCAGGCGUAUGUUGGAGAAAGCGUGGUCUUGUCCUGCAACGGUUCAGGGUUCUCCGAGCAGGAGCUGGACGUUCACUGGGAGGCGAUGGGCAAAGACGUGAUCUCUCUGCGAGGAGACGUCGUCACGGUCGGGAGAGGGUUUGAAGAUCGCGUGAACUUCCUCAGAGAUCCGGCAGAGUCUGAGGACUUCUCCCUCAUUCUGUCCGACGUGAUGCUGAACGAUGGAGACGUAUACGAAUGUCUCUGGGAGGGAACUAAACCCAUCUGCUCUGUGUUACUACAAGUGUUACCUCCAGUGGUUUUCACUAAUCAUGUUGAAGUGUUUGAGGGUGUCGAUAUCACUUUGGAGUGCUUUGGGAAUAUCCCUAAAAACAAACCUUGGGAAGACAUUUACAUCCAGUGGCUGAAGGAUGACAAAGAAGUCCUGCGCUUGAGCUCUGGAGAGAUGGACGUCAGUAUUGAUUACAGUAUCCUGAGGUUACCGGCCAAACAUGACAUCAGUCGCGGUAUCUUCUCGCUGAGCAUCCCGUCAGUCAGUGUUUUCGACCAGGGUGUGUAUCAGUGCCGCUACAAGAGCACCGAUUACGAGGCACCACGGAGCGGAUUCCCGGAGACACACACGCUCACGGUUUCGGUGAUGGAUACACCUGUCACAGACACAGAAAGCGGCUCUGAGGUGUGGAGCAGCACAGCGUCUCUCUCUCAGACUCAGACGGUUUGGGCUCAGACUGAAAGCAGCAGCUCCUUGCCAACACUGACAUACACUGAGAGAGAUGGAGAGGUGUGGAGCAGCACAGCGUCUCUCUCUCAGACUCAGACGGUUUGGGCUCAGACUGAAAGCAGCAGCUCCGUGCCAACACUGACAUACACUGAGAGAGAUGGAGCUUUAUUUCUGGCGAUGACAGAUCCGUCAGUCACUGAGACAGUCACUCAUUCUGUGACGACGGAUAUAUCAGUCCCACAGACAGGCAUCGAUUCUAUCUACUUGACAACAGAUGAAGCGAUUCCAGACACAGACAUCGGUUCUGAUACGCCGUCGGUCACCGAGACAGACUCUGAUUCUGGUCAGAUUCCCUGGAUCCGCAUCGGUCUCAUUAGCACGGUUCUGCUCGUUACCGCCGUGGUUCUGGCUUUAUUACUGGUGUCUGGAAGAAUCGGAGUCGUCGAGAGAAAACCAUUGAAAGGAUUCAACUCUCAGACAUUUCCAGGCAAACAGCUGAUUCUGUGA